AUACAGGCAAUGAUCAGGACAGGAAAGAUGGCGGUCCAUGGCACAGAGAGCCGGCGGAGGGUGCAAGCCGGUACAUUCCGUUAUUUUUUAUCGCCUGAGAGCUCCAUUUUUGAAAUAAGUAAAAAAUGGCGUUUAUCCACGUUACGGAGGAAGGAUUAAGAGUAUAAUGUAGGGUGGUACCGCGACUGUUCGCCCCUAUCUUCAGCAAUGAAGGUGGGGGCUUUUCUGUUAUCGGGAAGUUCUGCCUCUUUUUCCUUAGAGCGAUAAAUACAGGGUGGUACCGCGGAGAUUUCCGCCCCUGCU
Molecule: non-coding RNA, 303 nt
Filed under: Dialister invisus
Lineage: Bacteria; Bacillati; Bacillota; Negativicutes; Veillonellales; Veillonellaceae
Description: T-box sequence
Rfam family: T-box leader (bases 1-200)
About the family: Uncharged tRNA acts as the effector for transcription antitermination of genes in the T-box leader family.
Source: RNAcentral